AUCUAUUCAGCACCAGCCAGACUGCCCCUAGCCAACCACCGGCCGCCAGCCUACGCCCACCACGCUCGCGGCUUCCGGCGGGCGCUUGGCACAGUCUCCAUUGCCGCUCAGCUCUGAUCCAGCAAUCGAGCUGAACAUUCGGAAUCCACUCAAAAAAUAAACAAACUCCAAAAUCAUUUGGAAAAGUGUAAAGGAAGCCAGCCUUCACCUAAUGUGGCUCGGGAGCUGCGCAGGCAGCGCGACCGCAGCCGCGCUACAUAAACCCGUCGCCCACCUGCGGCCCCUCCUCAGAGUCUCCGCCUGUUCCUCCACCCCCGCACCGCUCCACGCCCACGCCCACCCCACCGUCGCGGCUGGUCCGACCCGGGGCCCGGGCCCCAGCGCAGGCGUCGCGCCCACCGCGAUGCCGUCUUCCUCCUCCGCGCCGACGACGCCGCCGCCCGCCGAGGAGACGACCGCCGCCGCAGCCAGUGGGUUCCGCCUCACCGAGCCCUCCUUCCUCGAGUCGCUCAUGCCGAAGAAGGAGACCGGCGUUGACCGCUUCCUCGCCGCGCACCCCGAGUACGACGGCCGCGGCUCGCUCAUCGCCAUCUUCGAUUCUGGAGUUGAUCCGGCUGCAGCUGGGUUGCAGAAAACUUCUGACGGAAAGCCCAAGAUCCUUGAUGUUAUUGAUUGCACGGGUAGUGGUGAUGUUGACACGUCCAAAGUGGUGAAAGCUGAUGCUGAUGGUGCUAUAGUUGGUGCUUCAGGCGCUCGUUUGUCUGUAAACCCCUCAUGGAAGAACCCUUCUCAAGAGUGGCGUGUUGGCUGCAAACUAGUAUAUGAACUCUUCACGGACACACUUAUAUCUCGAUUGAAGAAAGAAAGAAAAAAGAAAUGGGAUGAAGAAAACCAAGAAGCGAUAUCCGGAGCUCUGAACCAGCUGAACGAGUUUGAAAAGAAGCAUAGUAAGCCUGAUGAUGCUAAACUGAAAAAGGCUCAAGAAGACCUGCAAAACAGACUUGAUUGCCUGAGGAAACAAGCAGAUGGUUAUGAUGACAGGGGACCUGUGAUUGAUGUUGUUGUAUGGCAUGAUGGUGAUGUGUGGAGGGUUGCAGUUGAUACUCAGGGACUUGAGGAUAAGAAAGAUAGUGGAAAACUAGCAGAUUUUGUUCCAUUGACAAACUACAGGAUUGAGCGAAAGUUUGGGAUUUUUAGCAAAUUAGAUGCUUGCUCUUUUGUAGCAAAUGUGUAUGAUGAUGGGAAUCUUGUCAGCAUAGUAACUGACUGCUCUCCGCAUGCUACCCAUGUUGCCGGCAUUGCAGCUGCUUUUCAUCCUGAAGAACCUUUGCUGAAUGGAGUUGCACCAGGGGCACAAUUGAUUUCUUGUAGAAUAGGAGAUACCCGCUUAGGAUCAAUGGAGACAGGGACAGGCUUGGUUAGGGCCUUGAUAGCUGCAGUAGAGCACAAAUGCGACCUGAUUAAUAUGAGCUAUGGUGAGCCUGCUCUUCUUCCUGACUAUGGAAGAUUCAUCGAUAUUGUCAAUGAGGUUGUCGACAAGCAUCGUAUUAUAUUUAUUAGUAGCGCUGGAAACAACGGCCCGGCUUUAAACACUGUUGGUGCACCUGGCGGGACUAGUUCAAGCAUUAUUGGUAUUGGUGCCUAUGUCUCACCAGCUAUGGCUGCUGGAGCUCACUGUGUCGUACAACCUCCGUCGGAAGGGAUGGAGUACACAUGGUCUAGUCGAGGUCCCACAGCUGAUGGGGAUCUUGGUGUCUCCAUUAGCGCACCUGGUGGAGCAGUGGCCCCUGUGCCAACAUGGACACUUCAGUCUCGCAUGCUCAUGAAUGGUACUUCCAUGUCAUCUCCUUCUGCUUGUGGUGGGGUUGCUCUCCUUGUUAGUGCCAUGAAGGCUGAAGGCAUUCCAGUAAGCCCUUAUACUGUGAGGAAGGCAAUCGAGAAUACAGCUUCAUCUAUAAGUGAUGUGCCUGAGGAGAAACUGACAACAGGACAUGGGCUUUUGCAAGUUGAUAGGGCUUAUGAAUAUGCGCGGCAAGCUAAGAAGUUGCCACUUGUUUCUUACAGAAUCUCAAUCAGUCAAGUAGGGAAGUCAAUUCCAAAACUAAGAGGAAUAUAUCUACGUGGGAGUAAUUCAUGUCAACAAACGAGUGAGUGGACUGUUCAACUUAACCCAAAAUUUCACGAUGAUGCGAGUAAUUUGGAGCAAUUGGUUCCAUUUGAGGAGUGCCUGCAGCUGCAUUCCACUGAUAGCUCUGUUAUUAAUAUUCCUGAGUAUAUAUUGUUGACAAACAAUGGUCGCAGUUUCAACAUUGUCGUCAAUCCUGUUAAUAUCAGUAGUGGCCUUCACUACUAUGAAGUUUAUGGCAUGGAUUGCAGAGCACCAUGGCGUGGACCCAUUUUCCGAGUGCCAAUCACAAUAAUUAAGCCUAUUGCUCUAUCAGGAGAGCCGCCAGUAUUGUCACUUUCCAAACUGUACUUCAAGUCAGGUCAUAUUGAAAGGAGGUUCAUAAAUGUGCCAAUUGGGGCCUCAUGGGCGGAAGUUACCAUGCGCACAUCAGCCUUUGAUACUCCUAGAAGGUUCUUUCUGGAUACUGUUCAGAUGUGUCCACUGAAGCGACCUAUCAAAUGGGAGUCUGUUGUUACUUUCUCGUCACCAUCUAUCAAGAAUUUCAGUUUUCCUGUUGAAGGUGGCUUAACUUUGGAAUUGUCUAUAGCCCAGUUCUGGUCUAGUGGAAAUGCUAGCCAUGAACCUACCUGUGUUGAUUUCGAGAUUGUGUUUCAUGGAAUUUCCAUUGAUCAGAAAGUAAUUGCCCUUGAUGGUAGUGAGUCACCUAUGCGUAUUGUUGCUAGAUCAUUAUUAGCAUCAGAAAGGCUUGUUCCUGUUGCCACUCUGAACAAGAUCAAGAUACCUUAUCGACCAGUGGAUUCUAACUUUUGUCCGCUUCCCAUCAGCCGUGAUAGAUUACCCUCUGGCAAGCAAAUUAUUGCACUGACUUUGACUUACAAAUUCAAACUGGAGGACGGUGCUGAAGUAAAGCCCCAUCUGCCCCUACUUAACAACAGAAUAUACGAUAAUAAGUUUGAGUCUCAGUUCUAUAGAAUUUCAGAUUCAAAUAAGUGUGUUUACUCUUCUGGUGAUGUCUAUCCUAGUUAUGUCAAACUUCCAAAAGGUGAAUACACACUGCAAUUGUACAUAAGGCAUGAAAAUGUGCAAAUCUUGGAGAAGCUGAAGCAAUUGGUUCUGUUUAUUGAGAGAAAACUAGAGAAGAAGGAUUGCAUUCAAUUAAGUUUCUACUCUGAACCUGAUGGUCCUAUGAUUGGAAAUGCCACCUUCAAGUCCUCUGUUUUAGUUCCCGGAGAACCUGAAGCAUUCUAUGUGGGUCCACCAUCUAGAGAAAAACUUCCGAAGGGUGCUCCACCUGGGUCUGUUUUAGUUGGUUCCAUAACCUAUGGUAUAGUAAGCUCAUUCAACAAGAAAGAUGAACAGCAUGCUCCAGCAUCUUAUAGCAUUUUGUGUAUCGUUCCACCAUCAAAGGUUGAUGAUACUAAAGAAAAGGGGGUUUCAGUUGAAACAAAGAAGAGUAUUUCUGAGAGGUUAAAUGAUGAGGUUCGAGACACCAAGAUAAAGUUUCUUUCGGGCCUUAAACAAGGCAAUGAGGACAACAAGUCUGCCUGGACCGAGCUUGUCGCUUCUCUUAAGUCUGAGUAUCCAAAAUAUACACCUUUGCUUGCCAAAAUUUUGGAAUGUGUACUUCAGGAAUCAACCUCUGAUGAUAAAAUUAACCAUCACAAAGAGGUUAUUGUUGCAGCUGAUGAGGUCGUGGACAGUAUUGACAAAGAGCAACUAGCAAAACUUUUGUCUUUAAAACCCGAUCCUGAGGACGAAGAAUCACAGAAAACUAAGAAAAAAAUGGAAGAAACACGAGACCAGCUAGCAGAUGCACUAUACCAAAAAGGUCUUGCACUGGCAGAGAUUGAGUCGUUAAAGCCUGAUGAGUCAACCGAUGCAUCUGCUAAAGAUGUUUUUGAGGAGAAUUACAAAGAAUUAAUUAAAUGGGUUGAUGCCAAAUCUACAAAAUACGGCACUCUGACCGUUUUACGUGAGAGGCGCUGUGGAAGAUGUGGCACGGCACUCAAGGUUCUAAACGACAUGAUUCAAGAGGACUCUGAGCAACCAAAGAAGAAGUUAUAUGAUCUGAAGAUCCAGCUGAUUGAGGAGAUAGGAUGGGCACAUGUAUCAGCUUAUGAAAAGCAGUGGAUGCAUGUCCGCUUUCCCCCAUCUCUGCCUCCCUUUUAAUUGGGUAUGCUUACCAUUUAUUCUGGCAUCAGUAGGUUCAGUACUUUGUGUCAUUGUUGGAUGCAACAUUUGUCAUUUCAGGGAUCUUCCAUUUGACAUUUUAAUUCUUGAAACGGUAAUAAGGCAUGCAAGCGCGGCCACAUUGGAUUCUCUGUUCGUCCAUUUUUGCUUGCUCGUCGAAUUCUUCACCUGGAUAAUUUAGGUUAUCGAUUGUAGUUCCUUUGAGUGACCGCAUGAUUAAGCUGCUCAUAGCCUCGUAUACGCCUGAACUUUAGUUUGAGGGCAUGUAGGGGCAAUAGUAAAACCAUUUUCCCAAAAAAUGAGCUAGUAGACUACUCCCUCCACCCCAAAAUAAGUGUCUUAAGUUAAGUGUCUCAAUUUGUACUAGCUAGUAUUAAACUGAUUCAUAAAAGUUUGCGACAAGACAAUUGGCGGUCUACUGGUGGCACCUUUGGCGUCGAGCUGCCAUCCAUCUGCUCCCUCUGUCCAUCAUUGUGUUGCUCCAGACGUUGACUUUUUGUUGCUGUGCAUGCUCAACUCCUUCCCAUGGUGUUCUUUGUGUUGAGGUGAGAUUUGUGGCUAGCAGAUUUGUGUCCCUUGCGUUCUCAGUUGAUCUUUGCUCUUUGUUGGCGUAUGAAGCCCACCCCAUCUUGCAAAAUGCUCCGGUUGUCCUUUUGGUGGAGCUUGCAGUCAAGUUUAAUGUUCAUCGGUGGUCUCACGGUUUGUAUUGCUUGCACCUUGUGGGUCAAUGCCGCUGACACUUGUUGAUUGACUUUACCCCAGUAUUGUGUUAUGGGGAUAGUUGUAUGCGGGUGGUGCUGUGCCAACUUGCAAGGUCUCGAUAUUGUGAUAUCCUCCCACGGCACACUCCAUUAGUGUCUGUUGACACCAGAUUUUGGCACAGUCAAGAACUUAUUUAAAAUGGCCUCAAAUGGAGAAGUGUUCUAUAUGAAAAAGUUUCGUAUUGUCGAUACGAACAUCUUUGAAGUUUGGGCCAUCGCCAUCUGAUCUCAUCUCGAAGGCCGAAGUUGUGUUCGAAAUACUGAGAUUUUGUAUUCAGAACACUAUUCGGCACAUUACGCCCCAAGACUGC
Molecule: ribosomal RNA, 5390 nt
Filed under: Triticum aestivum (bread wheat)
Lineage: Eukaryota; Viridiplantae; Streptophyta; Magnoliopsida; Poales; Poaceae
Description: partial small subunit ribosomal RNA
Source: RNAcentral